GAACGCUGGCGGCGUGCUUAACACAUGCAAGUCGAACGGAAAGGCCCCUUCGGGGGUACUCGAGUGGCGAACGGGUGAGUAACACGUGGGUAAUCUGCCCUGCACUUCGGGAUAAGCCUGGGAAACUGGGUCUAAUACCGGAUAGGACCACUUGGCGCAUGCCUUGUGGUGGAAAGCUUUUGCGGUGUGGGAUGGGCCCGCGGCCUAUCAGCUUGUUGGUGGGGUGACGGCCUACCAAGGCGACGACGGGUAGCCGGCCUGAGAGGGUGUCCGGCCACACUGGGACUGAGAUACGGCCCAGACUCCUACGGGAGGCAGCAGUGGGGAAUAUUGCACAAUGGGCGCAAGCCUGAUGCAGCGACGCCGCGUGGGGGAUGACGGCCUUCGGGUUGUAAACCUCUUUCAGCAGGGACGAAGCGCAAGUGACGGUACCUGCAGAAGAAGCACCGGCCAACUACGUGCCAGCAGCCCGGAUAUACAA
Molecule: ribosomal RNA, 481 nt
Filed under: Mycobacterium simiae
Lineage: Bacteria; Bacillati; Actinomycetota; Actinomycetes; Mycobacteriales; Mycobacteriaceae
Description: bacterial SSU rRNA
Rfam family: Bacterial small subunit ribosomal RNA
Source: RNAcentral